Molecule: ribosomal RNA, 200 nt
Filed under: uncultured bacterium
Lineage: Bacteria
Description: partial 16S ribosomal RNA
Rfam family: Bacterial small subunit ribosomal RNA
Source: RNAcentral
UACGGAGGGUGCAAGCGUUAUCCGGAUUUAUUGGGUUUAAAGGGUGCGCAGGCGGAAUUGUAAGUCAGUGGUGAAAGCCCACAGCUCAACUGUGGAACUGCCAUUGAUACUGCUAUUCUUGAAUAUAGUUGAAGUAAGCGGAAUGUAUCAUGUAGCGGUGAAAUGCAUAGAUAUGAUACAGAACACCAAUUGCGAAGGCA